CACCCGUGAUUCUAUGGCAUGAUGGUUCUGU
RNAcentral lists this non-coding RNA (31 nucleotides) under Mus musculus (house mouse). Lineage: Eukaryota; Metazoa; Chordata; Mammalia; Rodentia; Muridae. The record is from RNAcentral.